AACGAACGCUGGCGGCAGGCCUAACACAUGCAAGUCGAGCGCCCCGCAAGGGGAGCGGCGGACGGGUUAGUAACGCGUGGGAAUGUACCCUUUUCUACGGAAUAGCCUCGGGAAACUGAGAUUAAUACCGUAUACGCCCGGUAACGGGGAAAGAUUUAUCGGAGAAGGAUCAGCCCGCGUAAGAUUAGAUAGUUGGUGGGGUAAUGGCCUACCAAGUCUACGAUCUUUAGCUGGUUUGAGAGGAUGAUCAGCAACACUGGGACUGAGACACGGCCCAGACUCCUACGGGAGGCAGCAAUGGGGAAUCUUAGACAAUGGGCGCAAGCCUGAUCUAGCCAUGCCGCGUGAGUGAAGAAGGCCUUAGGGUCGUAAAGCUCUUUCAGUGGGGAAGAUAAUGACGGUACCCACAGAAGAAACCCCGGCUAACUCCGUGCCAGCAG
This 440-nucleotide ribosomal RNA is filed under the name uncultured bacterium. RNAcentral's name for it is "bacterial SSU rRNA". It matches the Rfam family "Bacterial small subunit ribosomal RNA", at positions 29 to 514 of the family's 1533-position model. The record is from RNAcentral.